UACGUAGGGGGCAAGCGUUGUCCGGAAUUAUUGGGCGUAAAGCGCGCGCAGGCGGCCUCUUAAGUCUGAUGUGAAAUCCCCCGGCUCAACUGGGGAGUGGCAUUGGAAACUGGGAGGCUUGAGUAUAGGAGAGAAGAGUAGAAUUCCAGGUGUAGCGGUGAAAUGCGUAGAGAUGUGGAGGAACACCGGUGGCGAAGGCGGCUCUCUGGCCUAUAACUGACGCUGAGGCGCGAAAGCGUGGGGAGCAAACAGG
RNAcentral lists this unclassified non-coding RNA (253 nucleotides) under uncultured Caryophanales bacterium. Its description in RNAcentral is "uncultured Bacillales bacterium contains 16S-23S intergenic spacer region". It matches the Rfam family "Bacterial small subunit ribosomal RNA", at positions 524 to 776 of the family's 1533-position model. Lineage: Bacteria; Bacillati; Bacillota; Bacilli; Caryophanales. The record is from RNAcentral.